RNAcentral lists this ribosomal RNA (256 nucleotides) under uncultured bacterium. RNAcentral's name for it is "partial 16S ribosomal RNA". It matches the Rfam family "Archaeal small subunit ribosomal RNA", at positions 474 to 727 of the family's 1478-position model. The record is from RNAcentral.
UACCAGCACCCCCGAGUGGUCGGGACGUUUUAUUGGGCCUAAAGCAUCCGUAGCCGGUUCUACAAGUCUUCCGUUAAAUCCAACUGCUUAACAGGUGGGCUGCGGAAGAUACUAUAGAGCUAGGAGGCGGGAGAGGCAAGCGGUACUCGAUGGGUAGGGGUAAAAUCCGUUGAUCCAUUGAAGACCACCAGUGGCGAAGGCGGCUUGCCAGAACGCGCUCGACGGUGAGGGAUGAAAGCUGGGGGGAGCAAACCGG